GACGAACGCUGGCGGCGUGCCUAAUACAUGCAAGUAGAACGCUGAAGAGAGGAGCUUGCUCUUCUUGGAUGAGUUGCGAACGGGUGAGUAACGCGUAGGUAACCUGCCUUGUAGCGGGGGAUAACUAUUGGAAACGAUAGCUAAUACCGCAUAACAAUGGAUGACACAUGUCAUUUAUUUGAAAGGGGCAAUUGUUCCACUACAAGAUGGACCUGCGUUGUAUUAGCUAGUAGGUGAGGUAAUGGCUCACCUAGGCGACGAUACAUAGCCGACCUGAGAGGGUGAUCGGCCACACUGGGACUGAGACACGGCCCAGACUCCUACGGGAGGCAGCAGUAGGGAAUCUUCGGCAAUGGGGGCAACCCUGACCGAGCAACGCCGCGUGAGUGAAGAAGGUUUUCGGAUCGUAAAGCUCUGUUGUAAGUCAAGAACGGGUGUGAGAGUGGAAAGUUCACACUGUGACGGUAGCUUACCAGAAAGGGACGGCUAACUACGUGCCAGCAGCCGCGGUAAUACGUAGGUCCCGAGCGUUGUCCGGAUUUAUUGGGCGUAAAGCGAGCGCAGGCGGUUUGAUAAGUCUGAAGUUAAAGGCUGUGGCUCAACCAUAGUUUGCUUUGGAAACUGUCAAACUUGAGUGCAGAAGGGGAGAGUGGAAUUCCAUGUGUAGCGGUGAAAUGCGUAGAUAUAUGGAGGAACACCGGUGGCGAAAGCGGCUCUCUGGUCUGUAACUGACGCUGAGGCUCGAAAGCGUGGGGAGCGAACAGGAUUAGAUACCCUGGUAGUCCACGCCGUAAACGAUGAGUGCUAGGUGUUGGAUCCUUUCCGGGAUUCAGUGCCGCAGCUAACGCAUUAAGCACUCCGCCUGGGGAGUACGACCGCAAGGUUGAAACUCAAAGGAAUUGACGGGGGCCCGCACAAGCGGUGGAGCAUGUGGUUUAAUUCGAAGCAACGCGAAGAACCUUACCAGGUCUUGACAUCCCGAUGCCAUUUCUAGAGAUAGAAAGUUACUUCGGUACAUCGGUGACAGGUGGUGCAUGGUUGUCGUCAGCUCGUGUCGUGAGAUGUUGGGUUAAGUCCCGCAACGAGCGCAACCCCUAUUGUUAGUUGCCAUCAUUCAGUUGGGCACUCUAGCGAGACUGCCGGUAAUAAACCGGAGGAAGGUGGGGAUGACGUCAAAUCGUCAUGCCCCUUAUGACCUGGGCUACACACGUGCUACAAUGGUUGGUACAACGAGUUGCGAGUCGGUGACGGCGAGCUAAUCUCUUAAAGCCAAUCUCAGUUCGGAUUGUAGGCUGCAACUCGCCUACAUGAAGUCGGAAUCGCUAGUAAUCGCGGAUCAGCACGCCGCGGUGAAUACGUUCCCGGGCCUUGUACACACCGCCCGUCACACCACGAGAGUUUGUAACACCCGAAGUCGGUGAGGUAACCUUUUGGAGCCAGCCGCCUAAGGUGGGACAGAUGAU
RNAcentral lists this ribosomal RNA (1463 nucleotides) under uncultured organism. RNAcentral's name for it is "SSU rRNA". It matches the Rfam family "Bacterial small subunit ribosomal RNA". The record is from RNAcentral.